Long non-coding RNA from Miniopterus natalensis, 827 nucleotides. RefSeq lists it as uncharacterized. The record is from RefSeq and is a predicted model, not a curated record. Lineage: Eukaryota; Metazoa; Chordata; Mammalia; Chiroptera; Miniopteridae.
UUUUUGUCGAGAAUGGCAGGUUUCUAGUGAGAGGGCCCUGGCUUUCAAGGGAAACUUACAGACGCUCACCUGACCUCGCUCGCUCGCCACUGUGGCCGAAUGUCACAGGUCACAGGAAGCUGAGCGGCCCCCAGAAACCUGCUGUAACCGAGAGCAUCUGCCCCUCGAUCUCAACCCUUCUGUCUCCUUGGACAGCAAGUUCUUGUCGGGAAAGGAGAAGGCUCUUCAUCGGCCGGGCCCUUCUGAUGUCCCCACGAGAGGUUUUCAGCAGUUUCGGCAAAUGCCAACAGAGCUCGGGCAUGUCUGCGGCCAGGCACAGCCGCGUUCCGAGCGCAGACAUAACCAGGACGGCGCUUUAUUCCUGAGACACUCCUCCCAGACAUGCAGGUAGGUGCCCCACUUUUACCAGCCUGGAGAGGACCUUGCGCGGCGAGCUGCCAGCCCGAGGGGUCCUCUCUGACGCACAGGGGUCUGGUCAGGGGAUGGGUGGGGGGAGGACUGGUAACUGUGGUUUUAAUGAAACUCCUGAAUUUUCCAGGUUGCUCUACCACCUGUAACAUUGCUUAUUUUCAGUUUGCUCUUUUAAGUCUGCGCUCAGGGUUUCUAAACAGGAAAACUGCUGUGAGCAUGAACGUUUUCCUUCAGAAAGUCUCCUCUUAGCGCCGGGACCAACUGCUGGUUUUAAUUGCGUCCCCCCGGGACUGAAGGGCUACGUGGAUGACUCCUGAACCGAUUACUUAAAAGCUCUCCGUCUCUGCCCCCCUCAUUUCAAAGAUACCUACAGGACCUUCAGGGCAGAGCAACAUCUCGGGGACCCGAGGAGCAGA